This 305-nucleotide ribosomal RNA is filed under the name uncultured bacterium. RNAcentral describes it as "partial 16S ribosomal RNA". It matches the Rfam family "Bacterial small subunit ribosomal RNA", at positions 508 to 807 of the family's 1533-position model. The record is from RNAcentral.
ACAGCAGUAGCCGCGGGAAUACGAAGGGGGCUAGCGUUGUUCGGAAUUACUGGGCGUAAAGCGCACGUAGGCGGACAUUUAAGUCAGGGGUGAAAUCCCGGGGCUCAACCCCGGAACUGCCUUUGAUACUGGGUGUCUAGAGUAUGGAAGAGGUGAGUGGAAUUCCGAGUGUAGAGGUGAAAUUCGUAGAUAUUCGGAGGAACACCAGUGGCGAAGGCGGCUCACUGGUCCAUUACUGACGCUGAGGUGCGAAAGCGUGGGGAGCAAACAGGAUUAGAUACCCCGGUAGUCCCUGUCUCUUAUAC